This 237-nucleotide long non-coding RNA is filed under the name Mytilus galloprovincialis (Mediterranean mussel). The record is from RNAcentral. Lineage: Eukaryota; Metazoa; Mollusca; Bivalvia; Mytilida; Mytilidae.
UUUACUUAUUUAAAUAUGUCCUGGACACAAUUUCCUAUGAAAAUAUGUCCUCAGGUAUGAAAAAGUGUCCAUGCACAUGGACAUUAUUCACUACCAUAAUAUUGUCCAGGUGGACAUUUUUUCACAGGACAUUGUGUCCGCCAAGGGAUCAUAAGUUUUUGAUAUGAUUAAAGUAUCAAAUGAUAUCCAUUGCCCUUCUUAUUACUAGACGCAUUUUAACUUCAAUUGCGGACUUUA